AUGGUUCAUCGCCCACAGAAAAAUGUAGUUUAUAUGUUCAUCCAAAGCUAGAAUGACAUCAGACUCACAGUUGCCGCGGUAACAGUCCUCGUUCAGUCACUGAAACCCGUUGAUUGUAAGCUAUGGUAUGAACUCUUUAGAAUUUGGUCACGUGACCUCAGCCUGGUUUAUGACGACGACAAGCUAGGUCAGCUGGUCGCUGCCAUUUUUGAAAACAUGACUGUGUGCUAUAUAUGUGUCUUAUUUCAGAUAAACACAGAGUUCAGAGGUUGACCGCCCCCCCGCUCCAGUCCCGUUUGUUCUCUCAGCUGGACAUUCUGUGUGACAAACUCCUAACCCUGUAUCAGAAGAGGGAGGACGAAGUGGAACGAAGCUGAAGCAGCUGAUGGAACGCAGGACAGACGUCAGAGGACAGAAAAGGGUCUUUUUGUUCAACUUGUAGAAAAGUGAUGGUGGAAAUAACGGGUUAAAGAGGCCCCUGUUAACACAUUUCUGUAACUCAUGUAGAAUCCCAGUGUCACAUCUGUCAUGGUGCUUUUGGUGUUAAAGCAGAUGUUGUGGAACAUCAAGCUUUUAGCAAUGUUACAACAUUGUUCCCUCAUCCAAACAUGUCUGGAGUGCUGUUUCACUUCAUUCACUCCAUUCUGAGUACUCCUGUUUCUUCUUCUACUUGCAUUCAGGGAUCCAGGGAAGAAGAUGUGGAUGCUGGGAGGGAGUCCAUUCUGAAGGCAUUAAGCGUCUGCUUGAACGAAGACCCUGACGGCUGAUUAAAGAGCAUGUGGGAAGCAGUGAAGCCGUCUUUGAGGACUACGCAGAAGACACCACUGUAGGAAUCUUCACUACAAAACAAGACGAGGCCCAGUCCAAAGCAGAGGACAUCGGAAUCAUCCUGGAAGGACAAAUAGUCAUCAAGAAGUGGACAAUGUUCCGUUGGCCGUCGCCCUCCUCUGUGGACUCCUGUAGGCCCUAAAUGUGGACGAUCCUCCUGAACAGAGGAACUUUUUUGAAGUGGUCCAAAAGGUGAUCAUGGAGCUUGAUGGGGGCAGCCUUUCCAGAACAGCUCAGGUCCUGAAAAACAGACUCCUUGAAUGGUGCUUUGUGAUGUUUGAUGUUUGCAUUUUGCUCUGCUCGUUGGGCCUCAUGUUGUCUUGCAGUGUUCUAAAAAGUAGCUGUUGAUAGGUUCAUGUAAUUAUUGUUCAAGUGUUUUACUGAUCUGUGUUUAAAUAAAAAAGGUCAGACUGUC
Molecule: long non-coding RNA, 1243 nt
Organism: Acanthochromis polyacanthus (spiny chromis)
Lineage: Eukaryota; Metazoa; Chordata; Actinopteri; Pomacentridae
Exons: 2
Source: RefSeq, a predicted model, not a curated record